ACACUCAACAUACACCAAGCCUUGCCAGAAUUGAUCCCCGCUGAAGGCCAAAACAAAUAAGAAGGACUUACAAACACUCUGGAAAGGAGAUAUGACCAAAGGAAAUGAAACUGGAAAAAAAAAAAAAGAAAAGUGGGAAAUUUGGUGACAACAAGAAAGUGGUCAUGGCAGAAAGAAGGUGCAGUGCAGAGGACCAAAGGAGGCCAAAACUAAGCUGACAGGUGUUGCAAAAGCAAAACAAAAUCCAAGGAGGCAGACACAACUUGGAGGGGAAGAUAUGAGAGACAUUGCAUGGAUACAGUUUAAAAAACAAAAAAAAAUCUCGGCCAAAGUCAAAGCCAUGAAAAGGCAUGGCAUGCACACACCUGCAGGGACACUCACAACAUACACCAAGCCUUGCCAGAAUUGAUCCCCGCUGAAGGCCAAAACAAAUAAGAAGGACUUACAAACACUCUGGAAAGGAGAUAUGACCAAAGGAAAUGAAAUUGGAAAAAAAAAAAAGAAAAGUGGGAAAUUUGGUGACAACAAAAAAGUGGUCUGGGCAGAAAGAAGGUGCAGUGCAUUGGACCAAAGGAGGCCAAAACUAAGCUGACAGGUGUUGCAAAAGCAAAACAAAAUCCAAGGAGGCAGACACAACUUGGAGGGGAAGAUAUGAGGGACAAUGCAUGGAUACAUUAAAAAACAAAAAAAAAAAAAAAAAAAAAAAAUCAGCCUAAGUCAAAGCCAACAAAAGGCAUUGCAAGCCAACAAGUGCAGGGACUUGCACCAAAGCGUGUCUAAUUGAUCCCCAUUAAAAUCGCAAGAUUUCGUUUGCCUGCCCGAAAGGAAAUGAAAUUUCCUUUCGGGCAGGCAAACGAAAUCUUGCGCCCCUGCAAAGAAAGGCAUACAAAGACUCUGGAAAGGAGAUAUGAUCAAAAGAAAUGCAAUUGCAAAAAACCCCCAAAAAAGGGAAAAUUGGGAAAUUUGGUGACAACAAGAAAGUGGUCUGGGCAGAAAGCAGGUGCAGUGCAGAGGACCAAAGGAGGCCAAAACUAAGCUGACAGGUGUUGCAAAAGCAAAACAAAAUCCAAGGAGGCAGACACAACUUGGAGGGGAAGAUAUGAGGGACAAUGCAUGGAUACAUUAAAAAAAAAAAAAAAAGAAAAAAAAUCAGCCUAAGUCAAAGCCAACAAAAGGCAUUGCAAGCCAACAAGUGCAGGGACUUGCACCAAAGCGUGUCUAAUUGAUCCCCAUUAAAAUCGCAAGAUUUCGUUUGCCUGCCCGAAAGGAAAUUUCAUUUCCUUUCGGGCAGGCAAACGAAAUCUUGCGCCCCUGCAAAGAAAGGCUUACAAAGACUCUGGAAAGGAGAUAUGAUCAAAAGAAAUGCAAUUGCAAAAAAACCCCCAAAAAAGGGAAAAUUGGGAAAUUUGGUGACAACAAGAAAGUGGUCAUGGCAGAAAGAAGGUGCAGUGCAGAGGACCAAAGGAGGCCAAAACUAAGCUGACAGGUGUUGCAAAAGCAAAACAAAAUCCAAGGAGGCAGACACAACUUGGAGGGGAAGAUAUGAGGGACAUUGCAUGGAUACAGUUUAAAAAACAAAAAAAAAUCUCGGCCAAAGUCAAAGCCAUGAAAAGGCAUGGCAUGCAAACAACUGCAGGGACACUCACAACAUACACCAAGCCCUGCCAGAAUUGAUCCCCGCUGAAGGCCAAAACAAAUAAGAAGGACUUACAAACACUCUGGAAAUGAAAUAUAUCCAAAGGAAAUGAAAUUAGAAAAAAAAAAAAGAAAAGUGGGAAAUUUGGUGACUACAAGAAAGUGGUCUGGGCAGAAAGAAGGUGCAGUGCAUUGGACCAAAGGAGGCCAAAACUAAGCUGACAGGUGUUGCAAAAGCAAAACAAAAUCCAAGGAGGCAGACACAACUUGGAGGGGAAGAUAUGAGGGACAUUGCAUGGAUACAGUUAAAAAAAAAAAAAAAAAAUCUUGGCCAAAGUCAAAGCCAUGAAAAGGCAUGGCAUGCAAACAACUGCAGGGACACUCAACAUACACCAAGCCUUGCCAGAAUUG
This is a long non-coding RNA of Serinus canaria (Common canary), 2046 nucleotides long. RefSeq lists it as uncharacterized. Lineage: Eukaryota; Metazoa; Chordata; Aves; Passeriformes; Fringillidae. The transcript has 3 exons. The record is from RefSeq and is a predicted model, not a curated record.